Molecule: small nucleolar RNA, 144 nt
Filed under: Brassica napus (rape)
Lineage: Eukaryota; Viridiplantae; Streptophyta; Magnoliopsida; Brassicales; Brassicaceae
Description: snoRNA snoF1_F2
Source: RNAcentral
GAUUGCCUAAUGGUAUCUGAUGUCCAAACUUAUAAAUGUAGUUGGACAUUUCGUUUUUCAUAGGCAGAAAGUUAAUGAACAGGCCUUUGCGACACUGCUAGCUUAUCACAUAAGCUACUUGUUACUUUUUAACCUGUUUAUAUU